This is a long non-coding RNA of Sinocyclocheilus grahami, 236 nucleotides long. RefSeq lists it as uncharacterized. The transcript is spliced from 3 exons. NCBI's taxonomy places the organism in Eukaryota, Metazoa, Chordata, Actinopteri, Cypriniformes, Cyprinidae. The record is from RefSeq and is a predicted model, not a curated record.
AGCCGUCAGCUGCUGCUGGAGAACGUGCAGAAGAAGGAUGCUGGAGAAUAUACCUGUGAAAUUGGAAAUGAAAAGCUCGUCUUUAAGAUUUGUGUGGAAGACAUUCAAGCUGCCUUCUCCAACAAGGACUCUUAUCAGAAGGAAGUGAAGGUUUCAGCCUCCCAGAAAGCCACACUGAGCUGUGAAGUUUCUGACCCCAAGACUGAGGUGAAAUGGUUCAAGGAUGGCAAGCAGUU